RNAcentral lists this ribosomal RNA (765 nucleotides) under uncultured Streptococcus sp. RNAcentral describes it as "bacterial SSU rRNA". It matches the Rfam family "Bacterial small subunit ribosomal RNA", at positions 28 to 776 of the family's 1533-position model. Lineage: Bacteria; Bacillati; Bacillota; Bacilli; Lactobacillales; Streptococcaceae. The record is from RNAcentral.
GACGAACGCUGGCGGCGUGCCUAAUACAUGCAAGUAGAACGCUGAAGCUCGGUGCUUGCACCGAGCGGAUGAGUUGCGAACGGGUGAGUAACGCGUAGGUAACCUGCCUGGUAGCGGGGGAUAACUAUUGGAAACGAUAGCUAAUACCGCAUAAAAUGGAUUAUCGCAUGAUAAUCGAUUGAAAGGUGCAAAUGCAUCACUACCAGAUGGACCUGCGUUGUAUUAGCUAGUUGGUGGGGUAACGGCUCACCAAGGCGACGAUACAUAGCCGACCUGAGAGGGUGAUCGGCCACACUGGGACUGAGACACGGCCCAGACUCCUACGGGAGGCAGCAGUAGGGAAUCUUCGGCAAUGGACGGAAGUCUGACCGAGCAACGCCGCGUGAGUGAAGAAGGUUUUCGGAUCGUAAAGCUCUGUUGUAAGAGAAGAACGAGUGUGAGAGUGGAAAGUUCACACUGUGACGGUAUCUUACCAGAAAGGGACGGCUAACUACGUGCCAGCAGCCGCGGUAAUACGUAGGUCCCGAGCGUUGUCCGGAUUUAUUGGGCGUAAAGCGAGCGCAGGCGGUUAGAUAAGUCUGAAGUUAAAGGCUGUGGCUUAACCAUAGUACGCUUUGGAAACUGUUUAACUUGAGUGCAAGAGGGGAGAGUGGAAUUCCAUGUGUAGCGGUGAAAUGCGUAGAUAUAUGGAGGAACACCGGUGGCGAAAGCGGCUCUCUGGCUUGUAACUGACGCUGAGGCUCGAAAGCGUGGGGAGCAAACAGG